Molecule: ribosomal RNA, 260 nt
Filed under: uncultured bacterium
Lineage: Bacteria
Description: partial 16S ribosomal RNA
Rfam family: Bacterial small subunit ribosomal RNA
Source: RNAcentral
AGCGGCGGACGGGUGAGUAACGCGUGGGGAACCUGCCCUAUACAGGGGGAUAACAGUUAGAAAUGACUGCUAAUACCGCAUAAGCGCACGGAGCCGCAUGGCGCUGAGUGAAAAACGAUAGUGGUAUAGGAGGGACCCGCGUCUGAUUAGGUAGUUGGUGGGGUAACGGCCCACCAAGCCGACGAUCAGUAGCCGACCUGAGAGGGUGACCGGCCACAUUGGGACUGAGACACGGCCCAAACUCCUACGGAAGGCAGCAG